This 5725-nucleotide long non-coding RNA is filed under the name Triticum aestivum (bread wheat). RNAcentral describes it as "long non-coding RNA (TAES_LNC006678)". Lineage: Eukaryota; Viridiplantae; Streptophyta; Magnoliopsida; Poales; Poaceae. The record is from RNAcentral.
AGGGAAAAUUCAUAGCGUUUGUGUCAGCACAAGCAGAGAGUGACAAUCCAGAGGCUGAACUGAAGCCAGGAAUCGAUCUUCUUGGGCCAGUUGACGAGUUGUUUUUCGACACAUAUGACAGAUAUGAACCUACUAAUGACCCUUCUUCGGACAAUUGUUUUAUAUCAACAAUAAGUUAUAGAUGAAGUAACAAUGUUCUGGUUUUCAAUAUUUAGCAAAUGGAAAAGCAUCUUCAAGAAUAUUUCAAUUUAUCUCAAUUUAAUUUUGUUCAGAGUUAUGAUGCCACAACACACUUUGAGUCUACCGUGAUGGAUGUUCUUUCGCUGUAUACAAAGAUCACCGGAAAGGUACAUUUUUAAAUGGAAACCUCAAUGCAAUUUCUGCAUUAGAGCAGCUUAUGAAAUUGUAUUAUUCCGAUCCAAAUUAAUUGACGUGCACUUAGUAAAACUUUAGUACAAAGUUCUACUAAGUGUGCGUCAAUUAAUUUGGAUUGAAGGGAGUACUAAAAAAUGUUUUUAUCGCAUUACAUAAAAAUAGUAUCACUCUGUUAUAUUAAAAAAUGUAUUUUGUCUAAACUUCUAUCAUGAUUCCUUGCUGUGCUAUACAAAUUUAAGGUUUCUUCUGCACUACAUUUCAUAGGAGCGAGUUCUUUGUUUUAGCGGUCAUAGGAAUUAGUUUUUUUAGGGCAAGUCGUAGGAACUAGUAAUUGUUACUUUUGGGGAGAGGGCUCUAAAUGAUUUCCACUACUAAGGGCUCAUUUGAUUUGGAAGACCCAAUCAGCAACAUUUGGUCCAAUUGGAGGCAGACUAUUUAUCUCUAUUUAAAAACCGAGCUCUGGCACGUCUACAAAUCCCUUCUUCCCUCUGCGAAGGGCCUAUCUAUUUACUUUUAUGUUGAGUCAUCACCCUCUUAUUAAAAAGCACCCGCUGGAGAGCACCGCUGUCAUUUGCAUGCAUUAUUAUUAAUUUAUAUUAGGUAUGACUAUGACUGGAUCUCUUUUACCAUGAAUUACAAUGUUUAGUCAGUCCUUGAUCUUUAAGGGUGCUCUGCAUUUAUGUUUUCUGGUCUCAUAAAGGGCUAGCGAGAUACCAUCUUGUUAUAUCAUAUUAUGAUUGUUUUGAGAAAGUGUUGUCAUUCGAGAUUUAUUAUUAUUGCUCGCUAGUUGAUUGUGCCAUUAAUAUGAGUAAACAUGAGACCUAAGUGUUAUUAUGAAUAUGGUUAGUUCAUAAUCUUUGCUGAAAACAUGAAUGUUGGCUUUACAUACUUGCAACAACAAGAGCAAACAGAGUUUGUAAAAGUUUUUCUUUAUCACUUUUAGUUUUUCAACUUAAUUGCUUGAGGACAGGCAAAGGUUUAAGGUUGGGGGAGUUGAUACGUCUCUGUCGUAUCUACUUUUCCAAACACUUUUGCCCUUUUUUGCACUCUAACUUGCAUGAUUUGAAUGGAACUAACCCGGACUGACGCUGUUUUCAGCAGAACGGCCAUGGUGUUAUUUUCAUGCAGAAAUAAAAGUUCUCAGAAUGACAUGAAAAUCCACGGAGCAACUUUUCAGAAUUAAUAAAAAAAACUAGCGAAAGAAUCAGCACUAGGGGCCCACACCCUGUCCACGAGGGUGGCCCCCCCUAGGGCGCGCCCCCUGCCUCGUGGGCCCCCUGGACCUCCACCGAUCUCAACUCCAACUCCAUAUAUUCACGUUCGCGGAGAAAAAAAUCAGAGAGAAAGAUUCAUCAUGUUUUAUCAUACGGAGCCGCCGCCAAGCCCUAAACUCUCUCGGGAGGGCUGAUCUGGAGUCUGUUCGGGGCUCCGGAGAGGGGGAUUUGACGCUGUCGUCAUCAUCAACCAUCCUCCAUCACCAAUUUCAUGAUGCUCACCGCCGUGCGUGAGUAAUUCCAUCGUAGGCUUGCUGGACGGUGAUGGGUUGGAUGAGAUUUACCAUGUAAUCAAGUUAGUUUUGUUAGGGUUUGAUCCCUAGUAUCCACUAUGUUCUGAGAUUGAUGUUGCUAUGACUUUGCUAUGCUUAAUGCUUGUCACUAGGACCCGAGUGCCAUGAUUUCAGAUCUGAACCUAUUAUGUUUUCAUGAAUAUAUGUGAGUUCUUGAUCCUAUCUAGCAAGUCUAUAGUCACCUAUUAUGUGUUAUGAUCCGAUAACCCCAAAGUGACAAUAAUCGGGAUACUUCACGGUGAUGACCGUAGUUUGAGGAGUUCAUGUAUUCACUAAGUACUAAUGCUUUGGUCUGGUACUCUAUUAAAAGGAGGCCUUAAUAUCCCUUAGUUUCCAUUAGGACCCCGCUUCCAUGGGAGGGUAGGACAAAAUAUGUCAUGCAAGUUCUUUUCCAGAAGCACGUAUGACUAUAUUCGGAAUACAUGCCUACAUUACAUUGAUGAAUUGGAGCUAGUUCUGUGUCACUAUCGGUGUUAAAACCGGCGGAUCUCGGGUAGGGGGUCCCAAACUUUGCGUCUAGGCGGAUGGUAACAGGAGACAAGGGACACGAUGUUUUUUCUUGAGGCUGCUCGCCGUGGCCAUAAGCCUGCGUUUGAAACGCUCUUGUUCGACGGGAUCCUCAGGCACGACAAAUUCGUCGUCGUCGAGGCUUGCCUCGCCUUCGGAGGGAGGCAUGUAAUUAUCGUCCUCUACCUCUCUGUCUAUCGCUCUCUCAUGAGGGAUGGCUUCUCCAUCCUCCUGUGCUGAAUCCUGCUCGAGGGGGUUGUCUUAGGCGCUGUCCGGGGUGUUAUUAUCUCCCGUGCCGGAAUUGCCGUUUUUUGCUUUGGCGGGAUUUAGAGCGGCGCCGCUGACGCUGGCGCUUAGGCUGCUUCUUGGAGGGGUCAUCCUCGGUUGUUCCAUCGCCAUUCCCUUCUUUUGGGGUGUCCACCAUGUAUAUGUAGUAUGAUGAGGUGGCCUUCUAGUGCCCUAUAGGCGCUGGUUCUUGGCCGUCUCUUGCAUCGCGUCCAUACCGUCGAUGUCUUCGGAGUCGAAGUCGAGCAUGUCGGUUAAAUCAUCGACAGUGGCUACGAAGUGGGUGGUGGGUGGGCUUUGAAUUUCUUUGUCGUCCGCAUCCCUACCUUGCUGACCAUAGUCCGGCCAGGGCUCUCCUGAUAAAGAGAGAGACUUUAGUGAAUUCAGAAUGUCGCCGAAGGGCGAGUGCUGAAAGAUGUCCGCGGCGGCGAACUCCAUGAUCGGCGCCCAAUCGGGUUCGAUCGGCAGGGGCGCGGAAGGUUCGGAGUCCGGAAAGGAGUCCGGCACCUUGGAGUCACGAGCUUUGCAAAGGCAAGGCUGGUAUUCGGCUCGAUCGCCAUGGAGAUUGCAGCCCCCGAGGCGGUGUCCAACCACCCAUCCUCGAUUGGCGCAGUCAGCUCCGAGCUAAGUGUCGGAGCGGACACUGGGGCGGCCUCCUGGGCACUAUUCGGCGGUAGAGCUAGAUCAUGCCCAUCGUGAAAGUGUGGCACGCUCGGCUAUGGCUCGAACCCGUCAAAGAUCAAGUCCCUACAGAUGUCAGCCGUGUAGUUCAAACUUCCAAAUCUGACCUGAUGGACAGGGGCGUAGCUUUUGAUCUGCUCCAGAUGGCCAAGUGAAUUGGCCCGCAGUGCAAAGCCGCCGAAUAAGAAGAUCUGUCCGGGGAGAAAAGUCUCACCCUGGACCGCAUCGUUGUUGAUGAUCGGAGGAGCCAUCGGGCCUAAAGAUGACGACACAGGGGAACUCUCAAUGAAAGCACCAAUGUCGGUGUCAAAACUGGCGGAUCUCGGGUAGGGGGUCCCGAACUGUGCGUCUAGGCAGAUGGUAACAGGAGACAAAGGACACGAUGUUUUUACCCAGGUUCGGGCCCUCUCGAUGGAGGUAAAACCCUACUCCUGCUUGAUUAAUAUUGAUGAUAUGGGUAGUACAAGAGUAGAUCUACCACGAGAUCAUAGGGCUAAACCAUAGAAGCUAGCCUACGGUAUGAUUGUUGUUCGUCCUACGGACUAAAACCCUCCGGUUUAUAUAGACACCGGAGAUGGCUAGGGUUACACAGAGUCGGUUACAAUGGGAGGAGAUCUACAUAUCCGUAUCGCCAAGUUUGCCUUCCACGCCAAGGAAAGUCCCAUCCGGACACGGGACGAAGUCUUCAAUCUUGUAUAUUCAUAGUCCAGGAGUUCGGUCAAAGGUUAUAGUCCGGUCAUCCGGACACCCCCUAAUCCAGGACUCCCUCACACCCUUUUUCUUCUAGUAUACAGCAAGCAGCUCCACACCUAUCCACACAAACAGGCAGCACAUCAACAAGCAGCCGGACAUCCUCCUUCUAUUGAUGCCACUGGCGCCAUUGGCGGAGGCAGAAAUUUUGAUUUGGGUGUACAUUUUUUAAAGCUAGGUGGUUUAACUAAUUAAGUAUAGGAUUAAUUUAGAGUCAUGAGCUCUUCUUCACCAAAUAAUGGGUGUACGUUUGUAUACCAAUGUCCUUAGCCCGCUCCGCUCAUGACUAAGGCACUCACAGCUCGCAGCACCUGCCUGGGCUUCCAUUCCUUUGCUACAGCAGCGGCCAACUGCUCUGCUAUCUUCGCCUCCGAGUGUCGGCUCCACACCACACCACCUAGGGUCCGCCCAUCAUUAUUACCAGUGCUCUGGUACCACGAAGAGCGCAUGGAAUUCCCUUGAUUCUAUUUUCUUCAAUUGCUACUUUGCUAGUUACAGAUGAAUACAUAUUUACACUACAAUGUACUUUUGGGCCACACACUCAUACAGCCCAACACCGAUUAAGAUGAAUUUCUGUAACAACCAACCAUUACAUGGAAAAGUAGAUUUUUUUCUACGUGAAUUUGUGUAAACUUCAAGCAAAGCAUUGAAGCACCACAAUGAAUAUUUAUGUCGUAUGUUCACUUGUGUCAUUUCAAUCGUAAAUAUGUAACUAGUCAGACAAUAUGUAUUUUCAGGUCGAAUUUGAUGAUGAAGGGAAAGUUCGUGGAGUUACAUCUGAAGGGGAGACAGCAAAAGGCAAGAAAGUUGUUUGUGAUCCGUCUUACGUACCUGAGAAGGUAAAAGCCACUCAUCUUCAUUAUUUGAACAAACAGAUACAGAGUAUUGCCCUGAAGAUAAUCUCCGAUGUCACUAACAUUAUGCUAUACUUUUCGUCAUACUGUUUCAACAACGGUACAAAUUAUUUAUGACAGAAAUUUUAUACCAAUCAAAGUCACUGUGCAUAAACAUCUUACAGUAAAGUUAAACAAAGGAAACAUGGGGCGAAUGAAGAAAUUUUGCAACUGAUAAGAAUUAUCUGCUCUAAUAACAGGUUAAAAAGGUUGGAAAGGUUUUCCGUGCAAUUGCUAUCAUGAGCCACCCGAUCCCAAAUACUGCUGAAUCUCACUCAGUACAGAUCAUAAUACCACAAAAGCAACUUGGCCGCAGACCAGACAUGCAAGUAUUCCAUGCAUUAUUGCCCUUUUUAUCUACUAUUACUUUGUCAUGUCACCUAAAUUUUAUUAUUUUGAAUCAUCACCAGGUAUGUUUUCUGCUGUUCCUACUCUCACAAUGUUGCAUCGAAGGGAAAAUUCAUAGCGUUUGUGUGAGCACAAGUAGAGAGUGACAAUCCAGAGGCUGAACUAAAGCCAGGAAUUGAUCUUCUUGGGCCAGUAGACGAGUUGCUUUUCGACACGUACGACAGAUAUGAACCUACUAAUGACCCUUCUUCGGACAAUUGUUUUAUAUCAACGGUAAGUUAUAGAUGAAGUAACAAUGUUCUGGUUUUCAAUAUUUAGC